GGAGGAGGAGGAGGAGGAAGAUAAAAAAAACUCCAUAUCCUUUAUUAUAACCAGUCAGAUUAAGAAAAAGUGAAGUCCAACCAUAUACAAAACAAAGAUUCUCAUGGAAGGGCUGGGAGAAGCUACUUACCAAGACUUAGAGGAGAAAGAAGGGACUGAAUGGAUUGGAUUCUCAUGCAAGGGCUGGGAGAAGCUACAUACCAAGGCCUGAAGAAGAGGAGGUGGCUGACUGCAUUGGGGGAGUGUUAAACUCCUUAUAGUUUUCUUUUGCUCUCACUUGACUUACCUCUAAUGAUGGUUUAAGAGUCAGUGCUUAUAAAGGGUGCCUCAGAAAGGGUGCCUCAGCAAGGGUGCCUCAGAAAAGGUACCUCAGAAAAUGUGCCUCAGAAAGUGUGCCUCAUAAAAGGUACCUCAGAAAGUGUGCC
Long non-coding RNA from Eriocheir sinensis (Chinese mitten crab), 425 nucleotides. RefSeq lists it as uncharacterized. The record is from RefSeq and is a predicted model, not a curated record. The transcript has 3 exons. Lineage: Eukaryota; Metazoa; Arthropoda; Malacostraca; Decapoda; Varunidae.